GAGGCAAAUUUCCCCCGAUAGCCAUACAAGUUGACUGAUUGGCACCAAAAGAACAUUCGACAUCCAGCAUUGCAUUGUUUUGAAGCAUAGCUCUCCUGCGGUUUUCCCUGCAGGAAUACAUGGUCCUCGUGUUUGUUGCAGCUUUUUGAAGUUGCCAAGGUGCAUUAGUUUGCACAUUGAAAUAAUUAAAGAGUGGUCUUUUCUGGACUCUGUCAUUUGGCUGGGAAUAUACAUCUCCAAGUGAAAGUUGAACAUCAUCCACCAAAUUUUCUUUUCCAGUCUUGGAAUGCCAAAAGCUAUCCACACUGUCUUGGAAAAUAUUGGGUGUUCUCGAAUGUCUCCCUCUGGCAGUAGGCAUGGUAUUGAAAAGCUUAGAUUGCUCCUCUUCCCACUGCUCAGCAAGUUCCUUGGGAGUCCUCCAUGGACAAAAGUGCAGCCUCGGAUCCCUUAACAUGACAUCCCAAUUUCCUCUUCCAUACCUCCUGAUGCCAACCCAAAGAGAAUCUAGCUCUUCCUCUGACCACAUUCUUGGAGAAUCAUACGAUUCUAGACAGCUGCCUCUCUUUCGCUUCGGCAUUCUUGCUCUACUGACAAUAUUAUCUAGCACCAUCUUGUGUCUUCUAUAGGAUGAUGUCUGAUGUGGAAAUUCAGGCACUGUAUCUUGAGCAAAUUCUUUUGAUUGAAUGCCAAUAUUAGGCCGCUGAGAUGAGGUGGAACUUUGAUCAUGACCAUCAUUUAUCAGUUCCAUGGGCAGAAAUAAACCAAGAAAGAGUGAAGAUUUUGUUGCCGAAAGUCUCGUCUGGCUCCUGCUCUCCGUCAGACCAACAGUCCUUUCUUCAGAAUCAGCACAAGCUGUAACAUAUUUAUGCGUCUUCUUUGAUUGGAACAUAUCAUCAGAUCUAUCCUCUGGAAAUAGCUGAAAAAAGAUACCAGAUUGCCUAUUUUUAAGCACCAAACUCUAUUUCGCCUAUUGAAAAGGAAAUGACUAACAAUUUUUAACGUAUGACAACAAAAUCAUGUAAUAGAUGUUUUAUCUAAUAACUGGUUCUUGAAACUCAAUAAUCCCACCAACCUGUAGGCAGUUGUUUUUCAGUCCAAAUACUGGAGAAGAAUUUGCUACAUUAUUAUAAUUGUGACCAACAGCUUCCUCAGAAAGGAAACCAUCUUCUGGUAACUGUGCCUGGUGAAGUGGAUGUUUUUCCCCAACUCUCUCACAGAGCAACUCCAAGCGUUUGCUUCCUGGAGACUCAUCUUUAAUAAGCAUAGUAUGACUUCCACUUUGUGAGUUCAGCAAACCACAGAGUGGCUGUUCUUCAUGGAUAGAUGCUGUACCACACUCCUCUGUACCAUGAGAAUCUAUAAUAACAUGAUGUUAAAGUUGAGUUUUAGCAAACACCAACUGAAACGAUAGACAUAGCAGAAGCAGGUAAAGAAUUAAAUAAAACUAAUCCACCUCAAACAUGAUUUAGAAAUCCUCACCAGGAAGAGGUACAGAUAAGUCCAGUGAUACUGCAGCAUGUUGGCCACGAGGAAUCUCAUUGGUUUUUCUUACGGUGCUCAGGUCAUCAUAGGACAAUCUUAAAGAUUCAUGAGCUACAGUAUCUUGACAACUGAGUCUUAGAGAUUCCUGAGCUACAGUAUUUUUACAGUAUUUUGACACUGGUUUGCAAGAAAGGUCAUCAGCCGAAUCAUUUGAUAAGUUUCCUGAACAACCUAUACGACCUUCUAGGAAGUCAACCCCAACAGAAUUCUGAGGAAAUACUUCCAAUGUAGACUGGUUGUCCUGUGUAUUUUCCAGCUUGUCAUCUGCUUGCUCGAAGCUGCUAAAUAACAUACAAGAGGAUGAAUUCACAUGACUACUUGGUAGAGUAGAAACAUUUCUACGACAGUUUGAAGCUUACUUCGCAUUUUCAGGAGAUAAUCUAGAGGUAUAUGAUUCUUCAACUUCUCUGCUUGCCAUCUGUUGAAGACCAGCAAACUUAUUGAACUCAACAAGAAAGCAUAUGUACCAUUGAGCAGAAUCAAUCGACUACUAGCCUCUUUAUUCUCCCUUUCCCCAUAGAGUUACCACGAUGAAUCAAUGAAAGCAACAAAAUUCACAAUAACAGGAAAGUUCAGCUACAGCAAAUUAAGACUACCCCAGACCGUAUGACUGCAACACAUUGUCAGAACAUCUUUAAAACAAAUGUUACAGAUAUUUUGGUGUCAUGUUGCUAAAUAUGAGCCGAUAAGAAGUUGUGAAGUGUGAAUAGAAAUCACAUGUUCCUUCCAUCUUUACCAGAGGACUUAAUUUAAAACAUUCAUGCUUCCAACAUAUCAUUUACACUAUCUAAGAAAUCGAAUAAUGACUCAGAACCAAACUCUCCGUUAGAUUCCUCUAAUGUGGAACUGAAUUCCUGGCUGAAUAAAAUCUUAAUAGGAAAUGCAUACUAUUACCACAAUCACCUAAAUACAAAAUCACUUUCGGUUCCAUUUGUUAAUGCAAAAUACCUGUCUUCACUUUCUAGAAAAAAUAACUAUUUUCAAGAAUAGCCUGUCAAGUUGCUUACUUGACUCCACACAAGAUUACCACCGUAGAGGCUCCAAAUUUUGCAAGUGAGCAUCAUCUUGUGUAAAGAGAGAGGGGGGGAAAAAAGAACAGCUACUUCAAAAGUGAUAACGUACUUUUUCAUGAUUUGCAUCAAAGGCAACCCUCCUGUUAAGAUUCUCCUCCGAUGGGUUCGUAUUCACUAAAAUAUGUUUUGAACCACUUUCAGGAGGCGUUGCUUCCCCAACAGAUGCAAAGCCUGCAGACUUUGACCCUGUAAAUUCCAAUGAACAAUCCUCUGCAACUCCCAAGGUGUUUUGCGUAUGUAGCCCAUCCACAUCUUUUUUCCGCUUGCAUCUUCGAUAAAAAGUAAUUAGUGGAGAGCUCAAUUUGCUUUGCAAGGUUCCAGAGGCACUCAAGCUACCGGGUUUAUCUUCAACAGGCAAACAAGUUUCUUUCAGAUUAAAUUUGUCCAAUUCACUGGCAAUCUUGUAGCCACCAGCAUAAUCUUUUUCAACCGAUGAUUUCAAGCUGAACUGAUGUGUUUCACUUCCAGAAUUGCAAUUUGCAGAAGAAGGAAUGGAACAUUUCAUGGUAGGUCUAUUGCGACGUAUAGAGAUAGAUUUAACAACUGAAUAUGAGGCUUCUUUGAUACUAGCUGACUUUCCAGGAGUAUGUAAAUCUGCAGAGAGUUGGUCGCCAGAAGCAUUCUGAAAGAUGCCUUCUCUCGGACUCGCCUCCAAUACUGCAUGAGAAUCAGCGUCCAACUGUCUCAUAUCGUGUACAAGCAGGUUUUUAUCCUCUUCUAUGCUUGCCUUUUCAGCAGAUACACAGAAAUUUUGCCGUUUGAUGUAACCAGAGUACUGCCUUUUUCCUUCAGAAGCAUGCUUCAAGAGAUAAAACUGCAAAUGGUAAUAAAAUAUCAGUUGAACAUUUCUCUUGCCAGCACAAAUUCUGCAUAUUUAUGUCUAUUGCCAAAUAGAAAAGACAUGAAAGGAUAAGAUGCAUUUCUACAGCAUCCAGGAAAUGGAAGCCCAAGCGACACUCAGAUCAGGAAAUAUACAAGAAGACCAAUGUUAGAGUAACGAGCCAAACUAGGGAAAUCAGCUUGAUGUCAAGUGAACUCCAUUAAAGAUGAUGAAGAGUUCAGCUUUAGUCCCAGGUUCCCAAUUAAGCAUUAGUUUCUGUUUGUCUGUUCACGUAAUUUCGAACUUAUUUGAGGUUAAUAAGUUCUGGGACAAAGGACACCUGGCCCUAUUUAAAAAACUACCCUUCACAUUGAUUAGUGUCCUCCUUUAUGCGUACAGAAUCCUUGAUAGGUUCUAACAACUACCAAAUUCCCAAUUUCCCCAUAUCUCCACCUUCCCAUCAAAAACUCAGAGUGCUGCUUGAUCACUAUAUUGCGCAGUUUAAUACAUUAUUAUCUUCCCUAUUGCAGAACGUAUAGAAGAAAAGAAAAAAAAGAAAAAAGAAAAUAUUCCUUUAUUUUCUAAAGAUGAAUUCAGCUAUUCCUAUCUUUUUCCUAAGGGGUUUAAGCCAAGGGAAGUGAUAAGGUGAAAAUGGUAAAUGAGAUUGCUCCGCAACUCUUGUGAACAGUCACCUUUCUCUACAGUUGGCAAGCCGGUUUUUACCUAAUAUAAUGUGCUGAAGACCAACCACUGUAAGACCAAUAACAAAGAAGACAAAGAAUCCUCACUACUAACACCUUCAAUCUUGUGAAAUUGAAUCUCCAUGUACACACAGAUAAAAAAAAAAAAAAAGCCCAACCAAAUUACAUGCAAACAGUUCAGAGUUCAAUCCCUCACACGGCAGAAGCAGAAGUUAGGACCCAACGUUUCAAACUAGCUUCAUAGAAGACUGGUUCUCAACAACCUCUCCCACUUUCACUAUCUCAAACAGUUUCAUACUUUCUUCUCAUUGAGUGGUGAAGACAAUAACUGCAUACUGAAAGUUUAACAAAAGACGUACUUUUCACCAUCAUGUGAUCAAAGGUAGAAAGCGUGGGCAUUCAUCAUUCAAAAAAUGCAGAGCACUUUGGAAAGGAAACAAAAAACCAAACAGCGAAACUCUUAUCUACUCAGCUGCAAAAUUUUGGACUAACAAAGUUGCUUAACAUGGUCCACAUCCCAUUGCUAGUGAAGUUAUGUCAAUAUGCAAACUUUGGCUUACCAUCAAACCAUACAAAGUAAUUAUAACCAAAAAGUAGCUACAUAGCUAUCUUUUCCCACCUGAGGGAAAGUUAAGAGGGCAAACUAAGCAUGGCACAUAGCAAUACUGCAGCAUUUUAUGCUGGAAAAUUUAAGUAUAUCAGUGAAACAAGCAUACAAGACCAAUCUUCUGAUUGCAUUGCAUGAACAAGCAAUAAUAGUUUUGCUGCAACCCCAAAAAAAAUCUCAAACUAACAUCGAAACCAAAAACAUCUUACUCUACCAGAGCAAUUCCCACAACCACAACAUGGACAUACAACAUGAAAAAAGAGUAAAAAUUUAAAUAAUUGAAGAUAAUAUUUCACCCCAUCAUUUCUGGCAGGACACUCUGAUCUAUUGUCUUCAGUUGAUUCCUGUUGAUUUUCUGCAGUAGGUGGGGAAUCAGUCCUCGGGAAUUCUGAUUCAUUGUCUUCAGUUGAUUCCUCUUCCUUUUCUGCUGUAUUUGGGGCAUCAUUACUAGGGCAUUCUGAACCAUUGCCUUCAGUUGAUUCCUCUUGCGUUUCUGCCAUAGUCAGGGCAUCAUUCCUUGGGCAUCCUGAUCUAUUGCCUUCACUUGUUUCUUCUUGCUUUUGUGCUGUAGUUGGGACAUCAGUACUUGGGCAUUCUAUUAUAUUGCCGUCAGUAGACUCCUCUAGCUUUUCUGCCUUAAUGGAGGGAUCAUUACUUGGGCAUUCUGAAUUAUUGCCUUGAGUUGAUUCCUCAUGCUCUUUUGCUGUAGUUGAGGCAUUAUAACUUGGGCAUUCUGAUUUAUUGCUUUCAUUUGAUUCCCCUUUCUUUUCAGUCGUAGUUGAGCCAUUACAACUGGGGCACCUUGCUGAUGUAUCAGGACUCUCGUUAUUCCAAGAAAAAUCCUUCCUUGAUGGAGGCUUCUUACGCUUGUAUGCAAUCCAAUGCGGUGUCCUCUGACGCUUGUAUGUUAAAAUGACUUUGCCUCCAGUCAUCAUGCAUCACUACAAUCAUAAACAAGUCCUUUUCAUAUGAAAUUGCAUCACAACAAUUAGAAGCUGCAGAUAACAAAUUCACGGAAAUGCACUCACAAUAUCUUAACCCACAAACUUUUUUGCACCUCAAAGUCCUCCUUAUGCAUCUAAAAAUCCUAAUUUGUUACGAUACCCAGUACAAAGAAUGCAACCACACACAAAACUGUCCCAUCUGACUAAAGGAAAAGCCACUAUGCCAUUUCUUGAUCAUCAUACAACAUGAUUAAAGCCCAACUGAGAAGUAUUUAGAAUAUCCCUCAACAAAGAUAGCCUUGCACCAAAGCCCAAUACCAAAGGAAAAGGAAAAAUAGAAAAUCCGCAGAAGAAAUUUCAUAUACCAUGUCUGAUUUAUACCUGGCAUAUUGCUAACCAUUAAUGCAGACCAAUAACAAAAGCAAGCAAGAAUCUUUACCAAUUCUACAGCACCAUUUUAUCGUUUUAUAAACAAUAAGGGCACAAUUUAACCAUAACACCAGUAUGAAAGAGAAAACCACAAGAUAAUAGCAUGGUUAACAAGAAAAAAGCAACAAAAUUUACAGUGGUCAUGAUCAAGAAGAAAACAGCAGUCAAGUCAUAAUUCAUACUUUCAGGGCAGCAAUUUACAUAAACAAGACCGCACUUAAGAACCCACGAGAAAAAGAAGCUCAAGAAUAAGCAAAAAGACUUACCUUAAGUCUUUCAGAGGCAUAAAAAUGACAUCUUUGGCUGUUCGAAGAAAUAAAAAAAAAAAAAAAAAAACUGAAGGAACAGAACAAAUACUGCUAGCUGUUAGCUCCACCUACUAACAGUCAAUCCACAGUAUAUCCAACUACUACUACCAGUAGCAGUGUGUGGGUGUUGUGCUUUUUGGCUUGUUUUGAAUGAGAGAAAAGGACAGAGAAGAAAGAUGGGAGACAGAAUUUACUGCUUUGAAUGGAGAGCACAGCGGUAACGUGGUAUGGUAAGACUAAAAAGUGAUGAGAGAGGGACAGAAAAAGCAUACGUUUUUCCUUUAUGUUUUUCUUUUUUUCUUUUAUUCUUUUAAAAUUAAUACUAAUUGAAUAUUGUGUGAGUUACAUUGACCUCCUUUAAUGUUUCUCAAAUUCCAUACAUCGCCCAUAUAAUUUUUGAUAUUAUAGCGUGAUAAUUUAGUUUGAGUGUUACUUCCAUAUAUUGCAUAUCAUAUUGACAUAUAUUACAUAAACAACUUGUAUAUACCAAUUCAAACAAAUAUUUAUUUGCAAGUUUGAAUUCUAAUGCACAAACGUCAAGAGUUUCGCUUUUCUACUAAAAGAAAGCGUAAAAUAUUUUAUUGAAAUUAAAACACUUGAUUGGCUCAUAAAAUAAAGCCAAAGUACUCCACUAAUAAGUAUUUUGAAAAAGAAGUACUCAUGAAAAAGUAAUGGUAACAUAAAUAAAGCCAAAGUAUUUUGUUUUCAAAAGAAAAAGGUAAAGUGAUGUAAUAGCAUGAAUAAUGGGAUAUGAAUUAGUAAAUAAUAUGAGUAAGAAAGAUGCUCCUUAUCAUAUUUUUCAAUUUUCUACAACUACAUAGUCUCUUGAAGAAUGUGAAGAAAAAGCAUGCAUUUUUCCUUUGUGUUUUUCCCUUUUUUCUUUUAAAAUUAAUAAUUAAAUAUUAUGCGAGUUACAUUGACCUUCUUGAAUGUAUUUCAUAAUUCCACAUAUGGCUCAUAUAAUUUUUGAUGUUAUGGGAUGAUAAUUUAGUUUGGGAAUCACUUCCAUAAAAUUGCAUAUCAUGUUGAUAUAUUACAUAAACACUUUUGUAUACCAAUUCAAAUAAAUAUCUAUUUGCAAUCUUUGCAUUCUAAUGCACAUACAUUAGGCCUUUUUUGAAUUGCUGUUUUCAAUAAAAAAAAAUUUUACAUUGUUCAGGAACAUAUUUCUUAUUUUUAUCCCACAUAUAUCAAAUUGUUGUAGAAAAUUUUUUCACAAAAAUUCCUAAUAAUAACAAUUCAAACGAGCUCCAAGAGUUUCACUUUUCUACUAAAAAAAAGUGUAAAAUAUCUCAUUGAAAUUAAAACACUUGAUUGGCCCAUAAAAUAAAGCCAAAGUAUUUGACUAAAUAGUUUUGAAAACUACAAGUCUCUUGCAGAAUAGAAGAAAUUAUCCUCAGAAAAAAAAAACUCAUAAAAGAAAUUACUGCAAUUUUGAAAGUAUUGUUGACAGUUGUGCAAUUAAAGCAAGUACAGGGGGGAGCGAGAGCAAUUCUUUCACUAAUUGCUUUUCACAACUCACUAGUCGAAAGUCGAAACAAGUACGUCGUCGUACGUUAGAUCGUCGAGCGGAGGAAGGAAAGUGGGGCCCCCAACAUCGUCUGGCAGGUGUGGGGCAGGUGAUGUGGACUACUGCUGCCGGGAGGUUACAUCACAGUCUUCAAUGCUGAGGUUUUUUCUGGAACUUCUGACUGUGACUAUGAGGGCACGUGAAGCGCAUGUGAACCACACUGCAGCAACGGUGCCCGCCAAAGCAAAAGAUAAAGGAUUUGAUUGAUUGAGUUAAUUCUUUGUUUGGCAGAGUAUUAUUCUUUGAAUAAUUACGUACCACUUUUUAUCAUGUAAUAUAUAUGAGAUAAAAAGAUGAUUAGAAAUAUAAAAAUAUGAAUUAAAAAAUAUAUUUAUAAUACAAGUGAAAAAAAUUUGCUAUCCAAACAUAGUAAAAGUAUCCACUGAUAAUGUAUACAUUAUCACGAUUAAAUGUGUAAUAUAAGAGAAAAUUUUAAAUUCAUAUGAGUUAUCAUACAUUUAAUGACGAUGAUAUAUACACGAUCAGUGUACAGAAGACUAAUCAAAUUUUUUUUUUGGAUUGCAAUUUUUUUGGAUUUUUGUAGAAAAAUUACUAUAGCGAUUUGAUAUAUGUGAGGUUAGAAGGUGAUGAAAAAUUGUGUCCACGAAGAAUGUAGCAAUUUUUCAAAGCAAUCCAAACGAAUAUAAACUUAUUUUUCAAGAGGUGAAAACUGCAUUCAACAAAUACAUUGAAUAUAAUUUUUUAUUUGUGUUAGUUUGUUUGGAUAAUUUAUUAUUUAUACAAAUUUAUUUACUUGCAUCAUAAAUAUAUUUUUUAAAUUAUUUUUUAUUUUAUAUAUAUCAUAUCAAAAGAAUGCUAAGAUAUUUUUUUUCCAAAAAUAAUUCUAAAUAAUCUGUCAUCCAAACACUUAUCCUAAAUAUUUCCUCUAAGUCCCUCUCAUCUAUCCUAUUCUUAUGACUACACAUUAAACUCAGUAGCAAAUUUGAUAAAUGUUUUAAAUCAUUCAAAACAUCUAUCACAUUUUGCCACAUAAAUUUUUUCGUCAUUUACUUUUAAAUUAGCAAUUUUACAUCCCUUACAAAAUUAAAUCGAUAAAUCCCAAGCUAAAUUUUCACCAUUUUUUACCCUAAAUCCAUCAUGUAAUCCAUAUUUUGUCUUUUUUUAGGGGCAAAAAGAUUAAUCUCAAUUGUAGUUUAAAAAAAUGACCGGAUUCAUGUUUAUUUUACCCCUAAAAUAGUAUGAUCUGAUCCAAAUUAUAUUUAUUUUUCAUAAAAAAUAGGAUCGGAUGCAAUCUAUAUUUAUUUUUGUCACUAACAGAUAGGAUCUGAUCUUUUUUUACGUAAACAAUAACUACAUGUAGAUCACAUGGUCAUUUUCAAACUAAUAAGUGGUUAGAAAUUUAGGUUGAGGUCCAAAUUUACCGAUUUAAAUUUGUAAGGGAUGAAAAAUUAAUAUUUUAAAAGUGAAUACUGAGUAAUAGAUAAGUAUAGUAAAAGCAGUUAUGUGAACACCUGAGUGUGGAACAUGAGAUGGUGAGCAACUGAGUGUGAAACAUGAUAUCGCUGUACGUUACUCCAUCAUGCAAGAGUGAUAUCGAAAUAACAAUUAAUGACAGUUUUUAUUUAACACCAAACCCAUCUAUAUCUAUAUGUAUUCAAGAAAGGGUUUUUAGCAGAAACCCUCUAAAUGGCAUCUAAAUUUCUCAUUCUUUUUUCUAGAUUUUUGUAUUUAUUUUAAUACAUAAAAAGUAGUGGGUUAUAACCCACCUUAUCACCAAAUAAAUUUAAAUUUAAAAUAUUCCCACUAUCUCUUAACUCAUCCUACAACCAUUCCUACAAAUCCUCUAAUCAUCAUCCCACGUUUCCCCUACAUUUCCUCCUACGUUUUCCACUCCAAUUAAGAGUCCACUCCAAUUAAGAGUUCUCUAAUUUAAGAAUUCCACUCCUAUUAAAACUCCUCUAAACAUAGUAUGCUUCUUCAAUUUUCUUGCAUGCUCAUUCAUAUUUUUUGGUUAACCAAAACAAGCAUCUGUUAUCUCUUUCAUCUUUCUUGUGGUGUCAAUCUUAGUUUUUAUUAUUUUCGAUUAUUUCCAAUACUAUAAUAUGUCUCUAAUUUUUUUUUCAACCCUUUUACUGAUCGACUUAAUUAACUUAUCGAGUUAAUUCCCCCACCAUCUCUCUCAGUUUCUUCUUUGUUUUUGGUUCUCUAUUGAUUUUGUUUCUUUUGUGAGCAGUUAUGGCAGAGAUUAUGUGCAGAGACUUAAGUAGAAAUCAAUCUUCUUGUGGAGAACUGGAAGUAUAUGCUUGCCGGCUUAAUUUUUCAGAUCGGUCCCCUCUGCCCCUCCUUUUUGUCACAUUUUGUUUUUCUUUUAAGGUGAUUUGGUCUUUUACUUUCUUUAUUUUUUCUCCUUUUAUUUUCUGGGCUGGCAGAUGGUUUUGAUUGUAUACAUGAUCAAUGCUUUAUUUGUAAUAACCUGGAGAAGUAAUUAACUUAAAUCUUGAAAGGGCUUUAGUGCUAUGCCUUGAUUGACUCGAGCCAGCUCGAGCUCGAUUCGAGCCGCUCGAUUCGUUUGUAGCCCUAUCCACAGGAGACCAAGUUCAUAUAUAAAGUUACUUUUGCCUCCGCAGUCCAACUUAAAAAACCUGAUCCACGGGGCCACAUUAGUCAGAAUCAUAUGGUUUUGGCAUUCGUACUAAAAGUGGAUUGGUGUGAAGAGUGUCCGCACCUUCAAGUAAGAUUAUCAAAUCGAAUGCUUAGUAUUUUUAAGUAUUUCAUUUAACAACAUUCAAUUACAUUCAUUUGUAGAAAUAUAUCAUUCCCUUUUUUAAUAUAAAAUUUUAUUUUUUUAAGAUCUAUCUUCCGAAAAAAGACAGUUCUUCAAUGAUAUACACAUUCUAUUAUAUUUUAAACUAUUGUUAAACAGAUGUUACAUUUUAAUUUUGUUGGUACAAAUUUUUCACCUUUAUUUGUUCACCAUUUUAUUUUUUUCAAUAAUGUCAGCACUGUAUGUAGCAUGGGUAUUCACGCUAGUUGCUUAUGUAUUAUAUAUAGAAAAAUGCGCAAAAAAGGUCAAGUCAUCCUAUGACCUCUAUCAACAUUUUCUGGUUGAUUUCAAUUUCUUUGUUGGAUAAAAAAGAAAGAGAGAAUAAUCAAAUAAAUUUCAAUCAUAAUUUGGUUAAAGGAGGUAAACUAAUUAAUUCAAUAUUUCACUUACCCAAUUUCCUAGUUUUUUUAAACCUUUUUCUCUAUUAUUUUUACAUGAUAAAAGGGAUAUUAGGAUUGAAUAAAAUAGGUCGAGUCAAUAUAGUUGUGUCAAAUCCUUAUGUUGAUCUUUUUAUUGCUUUAAAAUUCAUCACAUGUAGUCCAUGACAUUUUUUUGGUAAAAAGGUAAUCGAAGCUAGAAUUUUGGGAUCAAACAAGUGCAUUUUACUUUUACGAAUUAGAAAAAAUACAUCAUUUUAAAAGUGAGAGAUAAAAAUGUUAAACAAUAAAAUGGAACUAAUGUUUGGUGCACUUUUCCAUUAUAUAAUAUAGCAUUUAAAUGGUGUAUUUUUUAUAUUUGUCUAUGAUUUUACUAUAAUUUAUUAUAGAUUUUUUACAAAUACUUUUAUGUAUUUCAAAGUAUUUGAAAGAUAUUUAUAAGACUCUGUUGCUUUUCAUGCGCCAUCUACAAUGCCACUCGUCCCCAACGCAUGCGCCAACCACAACGCCACUCACCUCUUACGCAAAACUCAUCAACAACCAUCACCACUUCUCCCCUAUUCGCUGCAGUUCUUCCUCGCCAUAUCCCCUUUACUCACUUCUACCAUAUCCUCCUCUAUGCCUCCCUUUUCUUGUCUACUACCUCUAUCACACCACUCUCCAUCUGUAAUCACCUUCACCCGUUCAUCUUCUUUCCUACUGCCAUUCUUUCCUUCCUCUUCUAUUUUUUUUCCUUAUCUUCUUCUACCCCAUCUCCUUUUCCCUCACCUUUUCCCACGACCCUCAUCUUUUCUCGUGUUAGAUUCAAACUAUAUUUGGUUCAAAUAUGACAGAGGUAAAAGGUGGAGAUCGCAGAAAAAUAGGGUUAUGGGGAGACGAGAAGGGGUAGAAAGAAAAGGAGAAGAAGAACGAAGGGAAGAGGGAAGAGGUCGAGAUGAUUAGAGAGGAGAAUUGGGUGGUAGAGGAAAGGAGGAGACAAAAUGAGAAGGAAAGGGAGAGAGAAAGAAGGAAAGAAAUGAAAGAGAGGGAGUGACGGAUAAUGGAGGGGAAAGAGGUGAUAGGGUAGGAGGAGAAAAGAGAGAGAAGGAAAGGUAGCAACAAUAAUAAUAGGAUGAGGUGGAGACAGCACUGGUGGAAGUAGAAAUGAUUAGGGAUGAUGGUGAUGGAAGAGGGAACUCUGUGCGUGUUUUUGGGUAUUUUGAAACGUAUAUUUUUUUUUUUAAAUUUAAGGUGUUUUAACAAGUUCGUGUAACAAAAGUUGAAAAAAAAUUGUCUAAAACAUGCAAAAAACAAAUAUGUAAAAAUAGAGAUGCCAAACAGAUCCAUAAUUUGAAUAUUUAAUAUGUAUAAUCUAGUAAUAUACAAAGGGUAAGAUAUAAGUCCACCAACAAAGGCAAAAGAAGCAUCAAAUUAGUCUUUUUUUCCCUAAUAAAUAUCCAAUGCAUAAUUGCUAUCAUACAAAAUCUAUCACUUAUUUGUAAAUAGUCUGAAGGCCUGUUGCAUUUAAAUAUUUUUUUCAUGGGUUUUUUUGACAUAUGUACUCAUUAAUAUAUUUGAAUUAUACUCAAUUUAACAUGUAAAUAUACAUAUUGACAAUUACUGUUCUACCUUUCACAUAUUCAUUUCUCUUAUUUAAUUUUUCAAAAUAUUAAUAUUUGAACUUUAUCUUAACGAGUACCCACUUAUUCUAUUCAAUGCAACUUUUUUGAAAAAAUAAAAUACCCGAGUCACUUUUUACGAGUGCUCGGUAGGCAUCAUUUAAAUAAAACUAAUUAUGAACUGUCUAAACAAAUAUUUGUCAUUAUGAUUUACUAUCCUAUCUUUUAAGCACCAAAACUUUUCAUUCUUUCAUUCUUUUUGGAAAAAAAAAGGUGUAAAUUCAGACCUUGCUUAUCAAUGUUUGCAUUGGAGAGGAUAGCCAGGCACAUAAUUUUCAUAUUAGAGAGGAUCUCGUGGUAACUUUCCUAGUACUAAAUUAUUAUUAUUUUUAAAAUUUUCUAUUGCAUGAUAAGCAGACAUUUUGUCAUUUUUAAUUAUACUUUUAUUUUUUAUUAUUUUUUAUCUUACAUACAUUACAUUAUCAGAAUCCUAAAUUUUUGUUUCUUGAAUAAUUUUAUAUCCAAACAAUAUAUUAUUUUAUUUUUAGUAAAAUUUUUUCCAAAAUUGUGAAGGCCAUUACUUUCUACCAACUUAACCAAGUUUGUGCUCGCAAGUUUGAGUAUAUGUAUAUAUAUAUAUAUAUAUAUAUAUUUUACUAGUAAAAUUACAUAUAUUCCUAAUAUUUUAUUAUUUAUUAAAAAUAUUUUUUUUAUUUUUUAAAAAAUAAAACAAUUAUUUUUAAAAAUAAAAAUUAUUAUAUUUCAAGCUCGAUCUCGACUCAAAUUUGAUGGGGGUGUUUUUCAAAAACUAGUUUUUCAAAUACAAUAAAAUUUUUUAAAAAGUACUCUAAAAGGUAAUUUAAAAAUUAGUUUAAAUUUUUUUAAAAUUUCUAAAAAAUUCUCAAAAUAUAUAGUAGAAACUCUUCUACUAUUGGAUUAGCUGUUUUUGAAAAACUUUGCUGUAGUUUUUAGAGUAUAUUUUGGAAUAUUUUUAGAAAAUAUUUUGAGAUAUUUAAGAGCAAAAGAGUUUCUAGAAUAUAUUUUGAGAUAUUUUUUAAAAAUUUAAACUAAUUUUUAGAUUACCUUUUAGAGUAAUUUUUAAAAAUUUUUAUUGUAUUUGAAAAACUAGUUUUUAAAAAACACUCCAAAAAAGGUGAUCCAAACAGAGCCUCUAUUAUAGCAAAAUUUUUUAAAAAUAUCUUCAAAAAUAAUUAAUUCAAACGAAAAAAAUUAAGUCAAAACUCCGCUCGACUCUAUUCAUUUGCAAUUUGCAGCACUACUUCGGACACAGGAGGAGCAGGUGGACAACGACCAGCCUAUUGGAAAGUCACCAAGACGCCAACACAGACGUGUCUUCCAACGGUUUCCUUUCCCAAGUCUCAAACUCCAACAAACAACGCCCAAAGUAGUCCCCACCGCCCCGCUUGUUUUUCCCCCCUUUUCUGAUUUCUUUCCCCGCAAAGAAUCCUUAUCAAAUGUUAAAGAAGAAUAGAAGAUAAAAAGAAAACAAAGAAAGCUAAAGGAGAAGCGUAUUGGCAAACUACUCCUUCCUUCCCCUUCACCUAUCUUUCCCUUUCUCGAUUUAUUCCAUUUUCCCAUAAACAAAAGAAACCCCCCACUUACCACCCACAUUCACUUUUCACAUUCCCUCAUCCUUUUUUUAACGCAACCAAGAUGUACGCUAUUGGAUAUCAAGAGCAUUGUUGAGUCUUUUAUCAAAGGAUAAACAUCGACUAGAUACAGGGCCUUUUUUCUUGUUCCCUGUUUUAGUCAUUAGCGUUAAUCAAUGGCAGAAUCAUCAGACAAUCACUAUGGCCCUGCUGCGAAGAGUAGUAGUUCAGGGGAAGUUGACGUGGACCAUGAAGUGGAAAUUGUUGAAGAAAAUGGAAAAGCUAGCAGCAAUGUAAAUGCAUCACCCCGGUACAAGGAUAGCAUUGGCGAUCAUUCUUUGAGUUCCGCAGGUUCUUUCUUCUAUUUUUGCCAAAAGGGCUACUUUUAAAUUCGUAGGAAGCAUUUUUUUUUCCAGGGCCAUUUUGUAUUUCUGAUCAUAUAUGCUGGUUUAAGAUUUUAGAGUGUCCUAAUUUAGUGAGUAUGAAUAAGAACAGGUGAAUCUGUGAACCGUUACGAUUUUUAUUUUUGUUUCUGCCAGUGAUAUGCAUGUAAUCCCAUUGAUUCCGAUGGUUGCGAAAAAAGUGUUCUGCAAAGCUUAUGACAGUGGUGCAAUUGUCAAAACCCCUGUCCCUUAAGUAUGGUUUGAGUUUUGACAGGGAUGAUCAGUCCUAAAUAAUAAACUGAGAUCACUAGGUAUGGCAGUUUGUAGGUCGUCAAGUAGCUAUUGAUACUGUAAAAUGUGUCAGAUAGUUAUUGUUCCGCAUGUACAUGUGCAUCAUCAUGUAUUGGGUCAUUGGUUUUUGAUAGUUUUAGUGUUUGGAAGAGUAAUUUCUUGGAGAACGAUACAGAUCGCAGCUUUCUGUGAUAGGAAUCAUAUCAUCUAGUCAAGAGGUGUUCCCAGUGGCCUUGAAUUAUUAAAUUGUCUCUUCGGCAACAAUGAUAUGUUUAGGAAGUUUCUUUUAUUCUUUCAACAAGCAAAAACGGAUUGCUGGAAAACUUAGUGUUAGCACGAUGAUACAAGGUGAUCGUAAAUGAGGUCUAUUAAGCAACACGAUGAAGAAUUGAAAGUGAUUCUAAUACAACAUAUUCAUAGAAAUAGGUUUUUGGAAGCACUAAUUCAUUAUUCAACUCAGCUUCCUCACUUGAUCAAGAAAUUUUAUGCUUGUUUUGUUGGAUUUUGUACAUUUCACUGUGCGAAUUUAGCAUAUUGUCUAAACUUAUGCACUCUAAUUAGCCCCGAUUUUCUGAUUACAUUUUGGUUUCUUAAGCUGAUCCAGUGACCACACUAAGCCACUGUUUGCAUUCUUAUUUUGCUCGAUGUUAUCUGGUUUUCCCCAGGAUCCACUGCCAAGAAUUUGCCUGAGCAGAAUCUUGCAUCUGUUGGAGACUCAGCAGUGGAAAAUGUUAACCCUACUUCCAGUCAACUUAGCCGAGCUACAAAGCUUGGAAAGAAUAAUGGUCUUGGAUAUUUGGCCUUGAAGCUUUUUGAUGAAAGAUUUCCUCUAAAGAAAAAGGUUGGUAUAACCUGAUAACUGUAGCUUGUAUUCCUCAAUUGAUUUUUUUUAAGAGGCCCCUGUACUUUCCUUUAUAAUUUCUAGUCUAAUUAAGGAUAAACUUCCGGGCACUAGUUGUUUUUUGAUUGAGUUAUCUUGUACUUCUUCAGGUGGUUAUUUAAGAAAAUUGAAAGUAUGAUGGACUAAUAAAUAAGGACAGGGAGAGUGGUGACAUGAAAUGCUUAAAAUGGAUAGUAUAGUAAGAGGAAAGUUGAAUAGAAAGAGCAAAAUAGAAAAGAAAAGGCAAAGUACAUUAGCAGUUGGAGGAGGGACUAUGAUCUAAGCAAGUUUGAAAGGAAAGUUAUGGGAACCAUAUUUCUAAUUAUUUUUUUUCUAAUUAAUAAAUCCUGUUUUCUCUUAUAAGUUCUAUUAGAUCUUUUUUUCUUUCUUCCUUGUUUUAACUUGUGUAUCCAUGUGCCACUUGGUAGUUUGUUAUCAAGGAUUGACCUUUAUGUUCCAGAUACAUAUUUCUUUUCCUGGAAGAAUAUACCCUCAAAUUGUAUUUGAGCAUCUUCAUUCCUUAUUGCCUCAGUUGUAUGAGUAACAUGCAUGUUUAGGGAGAAGUGGUGGGGGUAAUCUCCAAUAGGAAACAAUUCUUUCAUGAAAUAAGCUGAUCAUAUAGGUACUUAUACAUGAAAAUAGUCCUGAGGUUGAAUAUCUUGAGGUGAGAACCAUGAUACUUAAAGUACAUGACUAAUUAACCUAGCUCAUAAAUGGGGCUUUAGAUAGAUUUGUAAGAGUACAAGUAGGUAACUAGAUUGGACUCAGCAGCCAGAAUCGGUCUAAAUUUCCUUCAAUGACAAGGAUUACUGUUCCCUUGACUCCUAUAAGUUAAAACCAAUUAUGUCGAGAGUUGACGAGUUGAUUGUUUCAUGUUAACAAUAGAUAAAGGUUAGUAAAGACUCUUAUAAUCACAAUGGACAUCCCUUCUUUCCAUACGAAGAGUCUUCUUGCUUGGAAAGGGCCCUAUGGCCUGUCCCUUUGGAUCCAAAGGCUAUAUUUUUCUUCACCAUUUAAUGGCCUUUCUGCAAAUAUUAUUACCUCUUUCUCCAUUAAAAAAAACAUUUUUUUUUUCUGAACCCACAUUGUAAUGGUUAUCAUGCAGCUCAAGUUGCUGAACCGAUUUGCAUCUGUUCAAGAUGAUGGAACCGUGCAAUUUGAAGUUCCUGGAAACAUUAAACCCCAAGCUCUUGAUUUAGGUACUGGAGUUAUGUAUGAUGGAUCUAGAGUGGAAGAAUCUACCGGUGCAGGAGAUAUACAAGACCUACCUCCAUUGCAAAUUGUUAUGCUUAUAGUUGGGACACGUGGAGAUGUACAACCCUUUGUUGCCAUUGGGAAACGUUUACAGGUAAGUUGUUUCUUUUGAAUUAGAACAGGAAUAUACAUCACAGACACAUUUUGUAAUUUUGACGACUUCCUUUUGAAAAAUAUCGGGGCCUCAAUCAUGAAUUUAACCUUCUGAGCGCUGCGCUAUGUGCCUACCUCUUUGAUUGUGUCUUCUGGCAGGAGGAUGGCCAUAGAGUGAGACUAGCAAGCCAUUCUAAUUUUAAAGAGUUUGUUUUGGCUGCUGGAUUGGAGUUUUACCCUCUUGGUGGAGAUCCAAAAGUUCUUGCUGGUUGUAAGUAUAUCAUUGACAUUGGGUGAUAUCAUGAUCAUCUUCUGAAAAGAUUUUUCCUUGUCUGUUUUUUCUUUAUCAUAUACUAAAAUGACAUCUAGGCAUAUUUAUACAUGAAGAGGAAAUAAGUAGGUUAAAAACAGUUUGAUUAUAAGUAUGAUUUCCAUCCAUUUGCUUUGGUUCCAUUAAAGCCAUAGUUUAGUGUGGCUCAGUCAUGGAAUCAGAUGUAGCAUGAAUACGUUAAAAAAAUGCCAACAAAGUGGGGUUGGAAGGUGGGAUAGAAGAUUGAUCCUAUGUGAUAUAGAUUCCCAUAAUCAGUUAAGUAAAUUGAACCAAUAAAGGCAUUCUUAUGGAGUCUAGGUUUUGGUCAUCUUUUGCAUUUCCAAUCACAAGGAUAAGUUUCUCUUGAUAAAUAAUUAGGAGGUUUGUUCUCCUCAUGCGAUGCAAUUGGUUCAGUGCAGGUCUGUUGAUUAUUAUUUUUCAUUGCUUUUAGAAUCCAACUGGAGUAACUUUUAGCCCAAUCCCAUUUUGUUCUGUGAAAAUAUAGUUUGGUGAUUUUGAAUAAGGAGUGGAGUGUGUUCUGUGUAUGGUUAAGUCAGAUAAUGAGAUGAAUUAUAAUCUUGUACUAAAUUGUGAGAUGCUAGGACUUUUGGGAUAAUUUAUUUAGUUUUCUUGGGAUACUUUGUAUCAGUUAAAUCUUGGGUCCUGUGGCAGAGGAAUCACAGAAAAACCUGUAGCAAUGUGCUGGUUGUUUUGUUUUCUGGGAAAAUUCUGUGGUAGGUUGCAAUCUUUAGGGUGGUAUGAUGAUAGUAGAAUAAUAGGAUCUUUACACAUUGAACACUGCCUUUGGGUUUUCUUGCCAACGAGCAAUGUUUAUUUAUGAAUUGUCUUAUAGUUCUUAUGUAGCUUUUGACUUUUUUUUUUAAUAUGAUUAGUGUACCUCUUAGUUGUGUCACUUCUCCACAAUUGUACAAUUACAUAUUAUGUAGGUAAUUUGUAAAUGCAGAGAUGGUCACUAUAGUUAAACUUGAGUGCAUUUCUGAAAAAGUUGUUGCCGCUGUUUGAUGUUCUUUUCCCUUUUUCAUUGUAUAGUUUUUUUUUCUGAAUAUUCAAUUGAUGAUCGGGGAUUCAAUCUGUUGUUUGGUUAUUGCUGAUGUGUAUUGCAGACAUGGUGAAGAACAAAGGAUUCUUGCCUUCUGGGCCUUCUGAAAUUCAUAUUCAGCGAAAUCAAAUUAAAGAAAUUAUAUUCUCUUUACUUCCUGCAUGCAUGGAUUAUGAUCGAGAAACAAAAGUUCCAUUCAAUCCAGAUGCUAUAAUUGCAAAUCCCCCUGCUUACGGUAAUAAUGUCUUCUAAAUUAUCUUGGUCCUUGCUCCUUUAUCUCCUUCCAUUCAUGUCACAUUCUAACAGAAGAUUAAGAAAAUAUAAUUGCAUGAUUGUCACCGAUAAAUUGCGCAUUCUUAACUGACGUUAAGGAAUUCCUGUGUCUAGAUAGUGUUUUUGCUCAACAUUAUGAUCUUUUCUUGGAUUGUGCUUUUCUGCUCCAAUAUUGUUUUAUUUGGAAUUUCUGUGAUUCGUGUUUGAUAUGCACAAAGGACUUGUUAUUGAGUUGGAUCAAUGUAACAUUGUCUACAAACAUGUUGAUAGUUCUCCUUCAACUAUUCAGUUCUAUUUCAGGACAUAAGCAUGUUGCAGAGGCACUAAAAGUACCACUUCAUAUAAUUUUCACAAUGCCUUGGACGUGAGUUUUAUCGACUCUUCUUUCUUUAACUCUUACCUUUCUGUACAUCCUAAUUUAAUGUGUAUUAGGGUUAUUUUGGUAUUGUCCGGUCCCCUAUGCACUUAUAUCAUACUGUAGCAAGAUGAUGGAUGCUUUUUAUUAUGUUUGACUUCUGCAGGCCAACUAGUGAGUUUCCACAUCCUCUAUCUCGUGUGAAGCAAUCAGUUGGAUAUAGAGUAAGCACAGUUUGAUGCUCUUUUGUCAUCUUUUAUUUUGUUUAUCUUUGUCUGUUUGGUUAUAAGUAUUUUAGAUGUGGAAAGUCGGAUACUUUUUCUGCAGCUAUCAUAUCAGGUUGUUGAUGGACUAAUAUGGCUUGGGAUACGGGAUGUGAUAAAUGAUUUUAGAAAGAAAAAACUGAAGCUAAGGCCUGUCACAUACUUAAGGGGUUCUUACAGUUCACCGCUUGAUGUGCCUUAUGCAUAUAUUUGGAGUCCAGAUCUCGUCCCAAAACCAAAAGGUCAUUCUCUGAAUCUAUCUUCUAACAUCCAAGUUCUUAAUUAUUUUAUGCAACUUUAUCUUGUAGGCAGCUAUUACUUGGGCAUUGGUAGAGCAAUUGGAAUUGUUUGUUCUGUUUCUUGUCAAUGACAACUGUCCUGUUUACCCCUGCUGAAUGCUAUUUUGAGAAAUUUAUAAAAAAUUUAUAAAGUUUUGGCUCAAAAUUGAAGCUUGCUCAAUCUACAAUCUGAAAUACCUAAAUAAGUACACCUUAAACAAGAGAAAGAGCAAGGCACAGGACCAAGAAUUCACAAUUGGCUUGAAGUAAAAAUUCCACUGUUAAUCCAGGUGAGAGGAUAUGUAUGGCUUCAAGGCAUUAAAAAAAAGCUAAAAAAUUCAAGUAUUUGCAGCAUCAACUUUACUCUAUGGACCCACCCGAAUAAUGUCACUAAUAGAAAAUUUUAGUUGCUUAUCAUACAGCAAAAUCAAGAGAGAGUAGCCAUGAGACCUGCAAAAUCCAGAUCAGUAGUUCUAGAAAAGUUUGAAUGAUUUGAAUGUCUUGAAUAUCUUUGAUAUUUUGGAAUGGCUUUACCUGCAAUUUCCUUAGCUUUGUUAUUAGCAUUAUGUUGCAUCUACAACCAAAGUUGCUGGAUGCGAAAUUGAAAGACUUACUGUUGAUGUGCUAAAAAUGAUGUGUAUUCAAAUAAUUCAAUGUUUGAAAGUUAUUUAACACAUUAUAUUUGGCUCUCAUUGCUUCUUUUUGCUCUUUUCUAUACUGUAUGCUUUAUCUUGUUCCUAUUGGAUAAAAUACAAUUGGACUCAGAUAACUCUUUUAUGAUAUUUUUGUUAUAGUCCAUUAUUGAAGGAAGUUGUCAUUGCUUUUAGUUUCUUGCAUUCUUGUUGGGGAAGUCUAAAGAGGCACAACAACAGAAGCUGCUAUUGCAUUAAAGUUAUUCUGAUUUGUUUUGUGUGUCUUGCAGAUUGGGGACCCAAAGUUGAUGUAGUUGGCUUUUGUUUCCUAGACCUUGCAUCAAAUUAUGUUCCACCUGAUUCACUUGUAAAAUGGCUUGAUGAUGGUGAAAAGCCUAUUUAUAUUGGCUUUGGCAGUCUUGUGAGUUCUAUUUCUAAUCAUUAUAUAUUCUUUUAUCGCAUCGUCUGAUGGCUAUUUUUUUAAUUUCAUUUUAGUUUAUAUUUGUUGGUAAUGUGUACAUAAAAAUACUUGAGAUGAACCUAUAAAAGGUUGUUAUUUUCUUGACCACCCAAUAAGUACUCUUAGAUUGCCCAAAGUACGAAAUUGAUGUCUAGAGUCAGUGAUCAACUAGGGAACUUACUAGCACUCUCAAUCCUGACAUUAUAGUAGAUUAAUACAUGAUCUGUACAAGAGACAGCUGCUUCUUAAUCGUAAAAUACUUGCACAAAUAGCUAUAUCAAAUAGGAAUUGUCUUUAUAAGAUUUCCAAUGAGUUUUAUAUAUAUAAAGAAGUCGAUUGUAAAGAAUCCAGUGGAAUAAUUUAAACAGACUUGUGCUGGAGUUCAUUCUCUGGGAAAGCAGAGUCAAAAUUACUAUAAUAAAAAAUGCUAAAGUAGUCAAAAUAAAUGAAUGCGUUCAAGAAAAAAAAUGAAUUGGAGAAAGCUUUUUUUUUCGAAAAGGAGGUCUACUUUCCUUCUUUGGCUGCAUUUCAGAAGAGUAAGGCUACUUUAAUUUAACAUAGCUGUCUGUCUAGAGUGGCACAGUGGGUUGAAUAAGAGCACAUUUAUUGAUGCUGCACGACUGCUUAGUGAGUGAAUUUACUGCAAUGACGAUGUGGGGCUCAUUCUAAUGCAUGACUAUUUGUUCUCAAACCUUUUUGAAAAGCGAUGUGGGGCUUAGGUUCUUAAAACUGCCCAUUGCUGUGAUUCAGUAUUGACAAGAGCCCUGGAACUUGGAAGGGGCUUUACAGGAGCCCAUGACACAAAUUGAAGUGGCCAAUGAGUCCAUGAAACUGGAAAGUGCCUCAGAUUAGUUCAUGUAAAAGCUGGAAGGGGCUUGACAUGAACAUGAUGAGCUGAAGUUGCUAGUAAGGCCUCGUUGAGUUAUAAGUUAAGAAACAGCAGAACCCUCGAGAGGAAUGAAUCUGCAAGGGAAAAUUCCGAAUCAGUUGUAGACUUGUGGACAAAGAGUUUAACUAACACCCAGCUCUGAUACCUUGUUAACAAGCCCACUCAAAGCCAAUUGAUAAUAAGUGGAUUGGCACAAGACCUAAUUAACUCGUCUUAAACCCUCGGAAUAAUGUGGGUCCUAGUCUCUAAACAAGGACAAACACUGGGUACUAAAUUUUCUCAUUUCAAAAUUUUCUGAGUCUCCUUUAAUAUGAGCUUAAAGUCACAAGCAAGUCCUCCAGCUUCUAGUCUACUCAUAAAAUGUUGAUUCAUCUUGGAGGAAUAUGAGUCAUUUGUUCAAGCAUUCUGAAGAUGCUGAAAUUUCCAAUAUAUACUUAAGUAGCUUUCAGCUUGUGCCUUUUUUCCCCAAGUUUGUUUUAUAAGAGGUUGUCCUUUACUUUUUAAACUUUGUCAACACACAUACACACACAUAUAUUGAGAACAAUUACAUAUCCAUAUCAGCUUCAUAGAGCUUAAUUCUCUCCUGUUUUGAUCAUUUUUAUUUUAUUUUUUUGGUACAGCCUGUACAAGAACCAGAAAAAAUGACUGAGAUAAUUGUUCAAGCUUUGGAAAUGACAGGACAAAGAGGCAUCAUCAACAAAGGCUGGGGUGGUCUUGGAAACUGUAUGUUGUUGCCUUAUAGUUUUUAUUUAUUUUUUUAAUUUGGGCUAUAUGUAUCCACCUUUUGGUUUACCCUAGUCAUUUGAUAUCUUUAUCCUGGGUACAUUAGCCCUUUUCUUUUGUCCUCCAUAAUCUUACCAACUCUUUCUUCUUUUUUCACUUAUUUUCAUUUCAGUGAAAGAACCAAAAGACUUCGUGUACUUGUUGGACAAUUGCCCUCAUGAUUGGUUGUUUGUACGAUGCGCAGCUGUGGUAAAUCUUCUUUGUAGUUGCUCAGUAUUUGAUCUUGUUAAAGUUGGAAGAGCAUUCAUCUGUGGAAAACUUGUAUAUAUAGCUUGUUUGGUAAUAUGAGAUUACAUUCGGCAUGAUGACACUAACUCAUGGUUUCAACUGAUCAGAGUCCUCAUGCUAGGCAUCAUCCCUGUAAUUGCUUAUGCUACAUAGUUUUGAAAUUCUUGUGUCAGGAAUUGUUGUUAAGGCUAGCUCUUUUAGUACAGCAUGGAACGUGAUUGAUAAUAUUGCUGCCUUGCAUUUGUACAACUUCAGCUGUUUGUUGGAUUUUCAUUUGCUGAGACGUGACUCCGUAGUACUGGUGGUUUUUAGUGCCUGUUCUUUUGUUUUUAAUAAUCUAAAAGCUGUUCUGCAAUGAUUUUAUUUUCUUUGGCUCCAGUUUUUAGUUUAUUCCAAGCUGGAAAAUGUUGAUUCUUAGAAGCAGUCCUUGAGAUGCCUUGGCUUUCUCAAAACAAAAAUAUUGAUUCAAUUCACUAAACAGCUUUUCCAAUGAUCACUGUCAUUAAGAAGCUUCAGAAAAGCCGAAGCAAAUGAAUUAAUGCCCUAAUCUUCUCUUGUUACAUUCCCUGCUCAUAAAUGUAGUCUUACCUGUACUGCUAGUUAAUAAACAACUUUUGGAAAGUUGAGUCUAGUUUAAGUUUACGUUGUAGAAUAUUUUUUUUCCAUAUAUGGAGCUCUCUUACAAUUGCUACCUUGUAUUCUGUUUUUGCACAAUCUUCAGGUGCAUCAUGGAGGGGCAGGAACAACAGCAGCUGGUCUUAAAGCUGCGGUAAUUCCUGUGCUAUAUACCAGUUGUAGUUUUUUGCUUUUGGAGCUUACUCAUUUCUUCCUUAAUAAUACAACCUCUAGUGCCCCACAACUGUUGUACCAUUCUUUGGAGACCAACCAUUUUGGGGAGACCGUGUUCAUGCCAGGGGAGUUGGUCCUGCACCCAUUCCUGUGGAUGAGUUUUCACUUGAAAAGUUAGUUGCUGCAAUCAAUUUCAUGCUGGAUCCAAUGGUAAUGAGAAAUUCAACCAUAAUGAUUGAGUUGCAUGGUUUAAUGCCUGUGCUCUGUAGAAUGUUCUUUAUCUGUUUCCUUUUUUUUUUUUUCUCUUUAAGGGAUCUUUUUUUUCCUCGAACAUGAAUGAAGUUUUUAGUAUAUUGUUUAAUAAAUGUGAUCCAUAUCAUAUGCAUCAGGGAUCUGUGAUACCCAAGCCUCACUUACUACACAAACAACAAUAGUUAAAGAGUAGUUGGCAUAUUAUGUACCAUCUCUUUUUUCUUCCAAAGUUUCCUCUUAUAGUUGUCUUAAAGGAUCUAGGGUCAAUUAUGGCACAUCAUUGAUUCCAUAUUCAAAGACUUCAUUCUUGUGCUUUUGAGUAUGAUUUUUCAGCCUGAAGUUCUGUUUAGAAGUAUUUUUUUUCCCGAUUUUUCAGCCUGAAGUUCUAUAUUGGAAGGUGUUUAAGUGAAGUGUAGGAUGGGUUUAUAUUUAUAGUAGAUGAUUUAAAUGCACUCAUUUGAGAUUAUCUGCUUGGUUGAAGGCAAUUGUCUAUUUAAUUUGAUAGCUUCAAUGAAAAUUGAUUGCCUUGUAUUUGGAUAUGAGGGGUUAUUUUGGAUGCAAAUUAUGUAAAUAUUGUGAAAAAAAUUUGUUAUACUGGCUAAUGGUUGUGAUGUUCAACUUCAAAAUCUGGCAUGUCAUCACUUGUUUAAAAAAGGUGAUAAUUCAGCAGAAUAAAUUAUUGUAUGAAUUGGAACCACAGAUAUCUUGAGUGGUACAUUAGUUUUUAGGAUUCUGUUAAAAGAGAAAUAGCGUUGGAUAAACAAAAAAUGAAUAAAGUUCUAAGAAAUACACAAGUUAGCUAUUUUCUUUCCUUGUGUGUGCAUGCUAUGAAACUUUCUGAUGAUGAAUAGACAAGGCUAGUUAUUUCCCUUAUUGAUGUGUACAUGCUACGAAAUUGCAGAUGAUGGUACACGUGCUAACUGCAAGUGUAUUUUAACUUAAGAGUGUAUUGAUGUCAUUUUUUUGGUUGAUUCAUGUUGCUUGGCAACUGUAAUUAUAGUGCUCAUGUUGCCUAUGUGAAAUUCGACAUCCAACUUGUCUACUUUGGUUCUUUACAUGGAGAAAGAAAUUCAACAUGACACUGAAAUUUAGAUGUCUUGUGACUACGGAUAACCCAAAAAACAUGCAUAAUAUGCCCUUAAAAUAGUUACAUACAUUAAACCAUGGGAUAAUAGAAUUACAGGCUGAAAUAGUCAGACUUAAAUUGUAAUUUUUGACACACGUCCUACCAAGUGUCCUUCUGAGUCACGGGUCCUCGCAAAAGAAUAAACAAAAUUUGCUGUUAGCUCACUUUGCUUUUCCCAUACCCUUGCCAAAAUUCACCUUGAUCAUCAUUUUCCCAUUACAACAUCUUUGUCUGGUAAGAAGGAGAAUCAGAGGACAGCAGAAAGGGACUUAGAGUAAAAGAGAGUUUCAUUUCCAUUUUCUUGAGGAUAGGGAGAUAGCCAGAGGGGAGCUGUGCCGCCAUGGGCCUUACUGCUGAAGAAAAGGGAGAGGAUGGAAGAUAUGGUAUCUCCCGCCACAAAUUUUCCUCUAAAAGCUAUAAACUGAUCCAAGAUGGGAUUUUCAUUUUCUUGAAUUACUUCUAAAAGACCAUUUCAUGCCUAAAUCAUUGAGCUUGUGAGGUUGAGCGUUAACUAGAUUUUCAGAGGUUACGGUGUUAAAACCUGAAACGAUGAACAUUUCUCCAGUUUUAAAUAUUCAAGGAAGUUGAUACUUGUCAUCCUGUUUGUCACGUGUACAAGAACAGUGUAAACUGGUGAACUGCUUGUGUAUGUUAUUUCUAGUAAAAGAUAAGCAGUCUUUUCUCUUGUUGAAUUGGAGUUGGAUUAUGUUGGAAAUUAUGGCUUCUCUGCAUGAUUUCAUGUUUUAAUUGGUGGAAAUGGAAGGAGACGUUUAUGCAUGAUGCUGCUGCCUUAUCAAAUAGUGUCAGGCAUACUUUUGUUUUGUCUCUGGCUGACUACAAAACAUGGGGUCUAAAAAUCUCCAUUCAGAAUUAAAUGUUUUUAUAUGUUAUUGUUACCUAGAUGAAUAAUUUUCCUCUGUUACCAGGACGAGAUGUUUUUACUGACCAAGUAGUAGAGCUUAAUUAAGGGGAAGUUGCAUACUGCCUAGCAGCACAUUGGAUAUUGACGCUGCGUGUAGUUGCACCAUACGCGUGGAUGUGUUAAGCAGUAUAAAUUUUUACUGGAGAUUACUUUAAGCUGAAGUUGGGACAAGAAAAACUGUCUGUCUGUACUGCUUUUAGAAAGAAGAUGUCAUAAACAAGUACUUGAUGCUAAAAGCUUAGUUUAAUAUUAGAACAUAGUCCAAGAAUUUUUCUUGGUUGUCUAUCUUUGCGAGGCAAUAAAGAGAAUUUAAUCACCCACUUCUUGCAGGUUAAACAACGUGCUGUCGAACUAGCAAAGGCAAUGGAAAAUGAGGAUGGGGUAACAGGAGCUGUUAAAGCUUUUUACAAACAUUUCCCUCGUAGGAAAUUGGAGGCCGAGCCUGAGGAACCACGAAAAUCCAAUUUGUUUUCUCUUCGAGGCUGUUUUGGUUACUCGAAGUCCAUCAGAUGAACCUUCAUGAGUCUAAAGGUGGACUAUAUUCUGCUUCAGUUCCUCCUAUAAAUUUUUAGUGAGUGCACUUUGCGGCUUCCAGUCACUUCUAGAUGGAAGUUGAAUGCGGACAGAUUACAUGCACACCAUCAAUGAAGAAAAGAAAGGAAAGCAAGAGAAUGAGAGAGAGAGCAAGUGGGAAAUACCUGGAAGUGAAAUAUUGUAACGUCUUUGCGAUUUUUGGUGCGACUUCAAUAAAUCAAGAACGUCUUUUAGGUGUAGAGAAUGAAUUGGUUUAUCUGGGUGUACCUCUUUGUAUAUGUAAUGUGUAACAUAUUGAUAUUCGUGAACAGUUCAAACAAUGGAAAUGUUUGGAUACUUGUUUUGACAGUGCAGUCUCUCUCCUUUGCUACCAUUUGGGGGAGAAUGAUAGUUUUGCUUCUGUUGUUGCUGGGGAUGUGGCUUUUGGAUGUUUGUCUGUCGAAAAUGCCUUCCUAGCCUAAUUGCUGCAAGUUAACAUCUCUGAAGUGGCAGGCAUAUACGUUCUCAAUGCAAGCAAAUGCUCCAUGGUGAAAUAGUCUGAAAAGGUGGCAGCUACAAUUGAGGAAGUCGAGCUCGAUAGUGGAUUUUGAAAAAAUGCCACCAACAUGAAGCCUAGGGCGCAAAGCAUUCAUAGGCCUUAGGAAGUUCAAGCAAUAGAUGAACAGCAUAAAUCCUUAAAUUGGUGCUUGUCUGUUGUUUGAGUUGUAGGCAGGUUUUCUUUUUUCCUUCUUGGGUUUUUGGCCUGGAUGACAAGGUCGGAGGUUCUAACGGCACAUUUGACAUGAUUUUGACGAUUAGAAGUGGAUAGUUUAGCAAAUUUUUUGCUAGGUUUGAUGCACAGCUAUGAAGGAAGAUGAGCAUCAAAGGGAAGGCGAAGGAACAUGGAAUUAGGUAUUCCAGAGGGCAAUGUUGCUGUCUCUGCCUAUUUUCGUUCAGGCUCCAACUUUUUAUGUGUUAAUUUUAUUUUGUACUUUUUAAUUAUACGUCGAUUGUCACUUUGGUUUCUAAACUUUAAAUUGAAGCGUUUUAAUAAUUAAUGUAUAAAAUCUGUUCCACUUUAGUUCUUAAAGUAUAAAAUUUGUUCCAUUUAAGUAUAAAAUCCGUCUCACUCCCGUCAACGAUUUUACUUAAACGAGACAAAUUUUACUAUAUUUUAGGGACUAAAAUAUCUUAUUUUAAAGUUUAUAAACCAACGUGUGAAAAUUUAGAUACAGUUAAAUGAUGCAAAAUGAAAUUAAUCCUUUUCUAUUCCCUCACUCAUAGACACAGCAAAAGGGGAUGACACUUUUUUCAAUUUUUCUAUUCAGCAAUAUUUUCCAAGAUUGUAUAGACCACUAGUGUUGAUGUUACUCCAGAUAUUAAUGGGUGACAAUUAAAAAUGGAGGAAAUUCUGAAGCCAGCCCAUCACUCGUAACAUCUUCUGUUACAAUAGCAAGUUGUCUGAUUGGUAUUAUGUUUCAUCUUAUGUUCUUGAAUUGUACCAAAUUAGGCGAUCUUUUUUGGUUGUGAGGAUGGAUUCCUGUCUCAAGCAGCUAGUCCUAGCAGUUUGUUUGUUGAGGACAUAAUCCUGUAGUUUUCUUCUUAGAUGCAGUUCUCCAAUGGACUUUGAAGGAUUUUCAACUAGAUGCUUUGUUCACCUCUACAAGGAAAUGGAGUGAAAAGGCAGUAGUGCACCAACAGCAUAAAAUCUUUCGUUUUGUUUGUCUGUUACUUGACUCGUGGGCAAGAAUGCAGCAGGCUCUGUUUUCCUUUCCUUUUUUUUCUUAAAGUUUUUUGCUUCGAUUGUGGGUUCGAAGGCCCCAAGUGAGAGAUCCAAACGUGUAUUCUUUGCGCUCAGAAGUUUUUCAGAACUUUGGGUGAUGAAACGUGAGUCUGUAGAAAUAUAGAGCAAAGAAGCUUGGGGCAGCGGUAGAUAAACUGAGGAAAAAUAACGAUCCUGGCGAAGCAAAUGGAGGAUUGAUCGACCUAAAUAAGCUAUUGUUAGAUGAAUUGAUACAAAUACUAGCUGACUGGAGAAAACAAGAGGUUUUUUCGUUCAUCAAAAUCUAGAUACAAGAUUUACAACUACAAAGGCUUCAAAAGCCAUCAUACUGCAUAGACUUUCUGCAUUUGGUGAUGGACUUGGCAGCAGUCACAACUCUUUUCCACCUUCCCUUGACAUUAUCACGCUUGCUGCGCAACUAAUGAUGCCAUUGGAUUGGAUUUAGGCGUGAGAGAGAUGGGGAACAUAGCCUUUCUCAGCCAGAAAUUGGUUCGCCUCGAAAACACCAUACGUUGCAAACGUACACAAGCAGAGCAAAGGUAGCCUUUUCUCAUCCGGUACUUGAUUCACCACUUAAUAUGCGAUUUGAUGUUGCAGCCACGAACAUUUGGAGACUAGGAAACAGAAGGGGAAACUUCACUUUUCUGAUCGGGUGCUGUGCUGAUAUCUGAAACGUUCACUGAAGAAUCGCUUCUCACCGCCGGUAUCUCCAAUGUGGGGACUAUAGGAGGCCUCAUCCUCCUUGUAACGGUCAUCUUCAAGCCUUGUGUUGUGUGUAUUGUUGCCCCUGUAGUCAUUUGAACCUGCAGACAACUCAAUUCAUGUAAACAUGUAUUUGAUUCAACUUCACAAAUUGAGAGUGGAUGAUCAGAUAAACUUCCAAGCAAAUGGAGUUCGAUUCUUAGCAACAUCCAGUUAUUGUGCUUCCGAAUACAGAAUUGAAUCUCUGUGAAGUUGCAAAAGAGAACUCAAUAUAACUUACAGGAGGAGCUCCAACUGCCAUUUGAAAAUUGAAGCGUUGAACAAGCAUUGAAACUGCAACUAUGGUCUGUUGAUUAAAGAAACAUCGAGAUUACAACCAAAAUACAGGUAUAGUUUUAAAAAAACAGAGAUAGCAGGGCUCCAUCAGGUAAAGAAAUCAUGUAUCGUGCUGUCAAUAUCAUCUACUGACUUACAAGUGAAGUACUUGACUAAAAGAUUACCUCAAAGGAAGCAAACAUGUCUCCAACACACUUUCUUGGUCCCCCUCCAAAUGGCAAGUAGCUGAAACCGUAAUAACAUGAGAAAAUAAUUCUAGCUUCUCAAAACACGGUAUGUAUGCAUUUAAUGAGAAGCAGAAAAAAGUUGCUAAGAAUAAAUUGACAGAAACUAACAGCAUACCAUUUUAGUAGCCAUUAAAAUACCAGACAAAAGUCUCUUUAUCAGGUAUAAUUAAUUACAAAGCUUUCAAUUUUUUCUCUCCUAAGUCCUGAGAGAUAUUCAUUCCAGAAUUCCAACUAAACCAAUUUCAGGGCAAUUGAUCCACUACUGGUUGAUGUGAAUUACCUCCUCUCUGCAUACAAGUGCUUUCUAGCAUCCAUAAAUAACAGAUCACACACAAAUCCCAGAGAGAAUCAUACACAAACAUGUGCUCGUGUUUGGCAAUAGACAUAUCAAUGUAUGUGCACAGUUGUAUUUAUCAGCAAUUGUCUAGUGUAACUUGUAUUCUCCUAUUUAUCUGUCAUACCCAUGAAAAUGGAAUCAAUCCCCAACAUGCAUCUGCGGCUUAUAUUUUCUUCAAAAUGAAAGAAACAUGCUCAUUUUCUCACUUAAAUGGGGACCUUCACAAAUUUUGAGCAUACACAAGUACAACUGUUUAAAGCUGAUAAUUUCCAGGUGCCCUAAAAGUAUCAGAGCUCCAUGCACAUGUUAGUCCCUCAACGUUUUUCCAAAAAUGGAUGUCAUGCUGUUUCUGUACAGCCCAAUCUCCUAAACUGUACCAGUCAUUCCUCCAUGAAAGAAAAACGCAAAUCAUAUAACAUAAAAUAAAAUAAGAAAAUAUAUAAAGCUUAAACGAUGAACCAUAAGCAGCAACUAUCACAAAAGAAUUCAUCAAUAAUAAUAAUGAUGAUCAUGACGAUAAAACCUUGAGCAGGAAGACUACAUAGCCACAAACAAGUGAAUUUACCUGAAAUCCUGGUUGGUCUCAUUUGGAUUAGGUCCAUCCAGAGGCCAUCUUUCUGGGUUAAAUCUCUCUGCUUCUUCCCAACGUUUGGGACAAUGAUGCAAGUUCCAAACAGAAAUAAAAAUAUCUUCACCCCUGUAUCAAAAGAGAGAAAAUAUUCUUCAAUUCUGUGGAUACAUCAUGAAAAUUGUCCAAGAAGACUGAAAGUGGAGGAAGCAACACUGGCAAACUUAUAAGCUGAAACCAUUCAGAAGCCUUUUUAUUAUUUGUUGCAAAAUCAGGUUAAAAGCAAAAUAUUACUCUAAAUUAGUGUUGAGAAGUUUGUGCAGGUUAAGAUAUCACGUGCCAGAAUUUUAAUCUUGGUCUUUUCCUGUAUUUGUGUCCACUUGUAAAGGGAAGAUCAGUCGAGCAGUCACAAAAGCUUAGAUUUCACCAAAAAUGAGAACCAACAUGUCACAACCUGGGUGCAACAAACUUGUAUUGAAUUAGGAGAAAUUCAAAAAUUUUAGCCAAUUACUAUUGAUGAGUGUCAACCACUAAUCUCCACCCUUUAACUCUGUCAUCUGUCUUUAGAAAUGUAAAAUGCAUUGGUUCCAUAAUGCAGCCUUCGGUAAGAGUAAAUGUUAAAACAAGAAACAAGCAUAAUUUUGGAUCUCCCAAGGAAAUAGAUAGGAGAUGUAUCAGAUGUCUUGAACUUGUCACCAAGCCUUCAUUUGGAUUUCUCCCAGAUUAGCUCACCCUAGGAUCUGGAGACUGAAAAAUUUUGUUCCAGCUAAAGCACCUUAUCACACUUAAAUGCAAGGAAAUAGGACAUGCAAAUUUUCACCAGUUUGACUUUAACAUUCCUAGGAUGCCAGAAAUCAUAUUACAAUGGCAGGAUUACAGAGGUAAACUAGUGUAUAUGUCUAAAAAAAUCAUAGUAAGUGUGCCUACAGCUCCAACAAUGCCAGACAUAAUGGAAUUCAGAUAUGAAUGGAUCAGAAUGUUGGAAUGUUCCUUUGAGGCUGAUUUUUGCCCUGCAUUUUUUAAACAACUAAACCCAAAAUAAAAUAAAUAAAAUUGAUUUAAGCUGACCUAUAAAUAGAAUAAACCAAAUACAUCCUAGUCUCUGUUCUUUUAUUGUAAAGUUAAUUUAAGCUGACGAUCUAUAAUUGCCUUUUAUCUUGUGCAAAGUAAAGAAUACCUAAUAAAUACAAAUCCUGCAUGCCUUGGGUCCACGAAAUAACAAUUUUGGCUUAAAAAAAAUGAACAAACAAUUUUGACCUUCUAAUUGGGUACUCUCCAAGCAUGUCAUUUUCAAGAGAACGGCGGAUUAAAACUGGCGGCUGUGGAUAGAGUCUCAAGGACUGCAAAAUGACAAAACUAAGACAAUAAGAAAAAAAUCCUGCAUACUACCCAAAAACUGGUUGAUUCUUAAUGAAUUACAAAGAAAUGCUUCUCACUUCAUUAAUCACUCGAGUUGUGUAUUUCAGUUUCUUCAGGUCUUCCAUGGUUGGAAACCGAUCACCAAGAACUGCAUCCGCCUGAAACAACAUUUUAAAAUAUAAGAUAUCGAUCUAUUAUUGUUAUAGCACUUAUAUUAUUAGUUAAAACAGAGAUUGUGGAAUUUAAUGCAGCCACAAAAAAAUCCAAAGUUUCAACCUACCUCAUUUUGAAGCUUGGCUAGCACACUAGGUUCCUGCAGUUAUUAGCCCAAGACACAAAAACAACUAUCAUAUAAGCUCAACCAUUGUAGAAGAUAAUUUAACAUUGGCAAAGCACAAAUUUACUUUCAACAGUCAUGGUUAAAAAUUACACAUUUAGGCAGAGAUGUUGUCUUGGCAGGGGGAGGAGUUAGAGAAGAAAUAACCAAGAGAACCAAACUUGUAGCUUUAACCAAAACUGUAUAAGUUAAGCACUUACCAGAACGAAGCAGCAAUGGAAUGGAAAGAUAUUACAGAAUUUGUAGUUAAUAGUAAUUGUGUGGCAUAUGCUUCUCAAGAAAAAUACUGAUUAACAUUAUGUUGUUAUCAUCUGAAAAGAUGUACUCCAAAUUCUCAAAUUACCUAACUUCUAGGAAAGUUUGUUAAUCAACAUAGUCUGCAUCUGUAAAGUUCUGAAUAUGCCCAAAUUGCAUAGUGAUAGCUGUACAACUACUAUAUGAAAAUAAAAUUGCUUCUUCACUUCAUGGACAAACACAUUUCAAAGAAGUUGAGUAGUAAAACAAAUAGAAUAAAAUAAAAACCUUGGAAAGAAGAUAAAAUGUCCAUGUCAGUACUGCAGCAGAUGUCUCAUGCCCAGCUAUAAGCAGUGUCAUCAAAUCAUCGCGCAGUUGUUUGCUAGAGACCUAAUACUUAGUACAUGAGAACCUUUGUAGAAAAAAAUAAUGAUGCAGUAAACAUAAUAACAAGGCACAAAAGAUGUUUACAUCGUCGCCAGAUGCUAGCAGAAAAUGAAGAAUACUAGGAUCUUGUUCAUUCAUGUACUCCUCAUGGAACUGCAACUCUUCUUCAUCUACCAUUCUCUGCAAUUAGUAAAGAUACAGAUUUAAGAAAAGAUGAAUUAGUCCUGAAUAGGUGAGGUUCUCUAGUCUACUUCAAGAUAUAUAAGUUGCAUUGGGUCCACGUACUCGGGAUAAGAAGACCUCGUAAUAUUCUAGAACAACAUGUACUUGGGGUGUAAAGACAACACCAAAGUAGUUUUUAGCAUACACCAGCAGUUUUCAUGUUAAGCCAAACAAGGCAGAAUAAGCAGCUUGCAAAUCCAGCAUGAGCUACUAGUAGCAUGUGUUAUUUACUUAAGUAUAUUGGAAAAGAAAUACAUGCUCGAGAAAGGAAGAGAAAAGAACCACUCCUGUGCCUGGACAUAUAAGAUACAUCUUAGGAGGCGUUAAAAAGAUAUUUGCUUCUUAAUUCCUUUGAUGUGUAAAUUCUUCCUUAUACAUGCUAAGAGGUCUUAACAAGUUAUUUGUCUCUCAAAUGCUUUGAUGCAUAAAUUGUUCCUUUCACUUCCUAACCAAAAGUAAAGGGUGCACAAGCACAAUUUCCAAGCACGGUUAAGAUGAUUUAUAUUUUGUUAUUGGAGCCACAUACAAAUUAGCUAAACCACUAUAGCCAUCAAAAGGGUCUUAACCCACACUAUCAUCUAAUCAUUACAAAAGAAAAGCAUAUAAACUACAGAUUUGUUGCUGCAUCAGGUGAAUCCUGUUUCCACAAAAAGCAUCAAAUACUACAUAUGCUUUUUUUAGUCCUUGAAUGAUUUAUCUUUCUUACUAACACACUAAUAGAGUUUUUCCCAUUGCUGAUCUAAAAGUAAGAGAGUAAACGCAGUUUCUCCCUGAAGUUGAUCACUAAAGCAGAUAGUGUGAAGUUCGUUUACCUUUUCUUAAAUAAAAUUCAUCUUCUUUCACCCUAACUAUUAUACAUACGAGAGACAUGAAUGAUGCAGGGAGAAAUGCUGCCAUGAAGAAGCAAAAACAUGAAAGUGUGGAUAAUUUAUUCGAAACAGAAAAAAAUGAAGGUGAAAGGACAACAAGAUGAGAGAAAAUUCAGAACCACAAUAACUGGAUUAAUUAAAUAGCCGCUUUACAUCUCUAGAACCAUUUGUAUCAGUCACCAUCCUGAGAGAAAGUCAGAAAGUUAUUAUGUUCAACUAAAAAUAAAGACAUAUGAUACACAACUAAAAUAUCUGUACACCAACCACACUUGUUUUACAAUGUAGCCUUCUUAAGGAGUUAAGGUAGCAGUCAACUUCAUUUUGUCCAAAUAAUGCAAAACUUGUAGAUACACUUUAUAAAAUAUAAAGUGGUUCCUUCAUUUGCUAUCAUUAAGGCUUAUGAUAUCUGAACUGGUCUGAACCAUUAGCUGUAAUACUUGAGAUACAUCUAGGCAACGAGCUAACCAAUCAAAACCAAAGAAGCCACUUCAUGUUACUCCAUCUCUGCUUUUUGAAGCAACCCCAUCUGCACAAAUUAUAUAUUUACACAAGAAGAAAAUGAAACCUAUUAGAGAUGGCAAAGUUUAAGAAACAAGUACCUUCCAUGCAUACAUCCCAAAGAAGGCUAUGGUAUCGGCAGACCAAACAACUGCAAAUGAUUUCCAGAAGAAUGGGAUUAAAACAUUCAAGAGCGGGAUUAGCAGAAAGAGAUAAUUGAGGGCUUCUUUCUCAUUUUUUGAGCAGUCUCGUGCCCGGAGGGAAGGAAUAGCUGCAAAAGCAUGAAAUUGACCUCUUUAACAGAAGUAGCCAAAACUGGUCACUCUUAUAAAGCUGGAAUAUCUCCCAUCUAGGAGCUUAUCAUGUCUGAUCACAAGCAUGGUACAUCUUUUAUUUUCCUCUUUUUCUUUACAAACACAUAUAAACUGAUGGUUACCUCCAUUAAUUAGUAACCUUCUGCCAUAAUAUGGCUAGUCCUAAAAUUAAUACAUCUUCCAAAUACUUUUCCCAUACAAUAGAUAAGCUGCUUGAAGAUUAUUACACAGUCAGCCGGAAAAUGGAAAUGAACAAGAAGUAAGAAGCAUAACAUUGCAUAUGACUGAAGUCUUUGGAAUGUCCCUCUCUGACCAGCAAUGCAAUUUAGAUAACUAAGCACCAUAUAAGGAAACUUUUAUCAUUAAGCAUCAAAAAAGAAAGAAACAAUCUAUCGUGUAAUACAUUUCUAUUUUAAAAAAAUUAUUGUUAUUGGAAUGAGUAUUGCUUACUGAACAUCCAGAUGGACCACAUCCCCAUUAGUCUCCAUAUGUCUGGCUCAUUAGAGGGGAAUAUCAGAUUAAAAGACAGAGCUCCUCCUAGCAACAUUGAGACAUAACCUUGCACCUCAAAAACAGUAUAUAGAAUGGUUCCAGGUACAGCAGGAUUUUUGGUAGCAACAGAAGCCCUAGGUGCAAAAGUUGCUGCAGUCUUUUGGACAACCUUUCCAAAAAAGUCGAUCAUCGUAUAAAAUUUCUAUCUUUCCUAAAAGUUAUAGUAAGAUAUGCAGAAAAGAAGAGUAGAUGAAAAUAUAAAACUUAUUGAAGCUGAAAAGCAGUAAUAUUAACUUCAACAGAAAUAACUUUUAUGCCACCAGACAAUCAAGUGGCUAGUAUUGCUCAGGGGACUAUAUAAACAUUAGGUGCAUAUUUUCAUUCCAGACUCUAAAGAAUAGUUGACACAGUCGCACAAGUGAAUAACAACAAGCAGAAUGCAUCAAAAUUUAAAACAACACAACCAUCAUUCUCAUCAUGCCAGCAUAGAGUAGCUAUUGACUUCCUGAUAUCUGAACGCUACAGGCCUGGUAGGUGCUAAAGAACCAAGUAUAAUAUUUCCUUGUGCAAGAUUGUUAUCAACAGUUCAUGGAAAUCCUCCAAGCUAAUUAGCAGGAGUUGUUAAUUCCUUUUGGAAAUUGUAGGAUUAGUCUACAACUUUUAGGAAGAGAUAAAUAUAGACUGCUAUGUAUAAGAAGUGUGGAUAAAAACAUUGAAAUUAGGAUAACUUUUCUCCUAAACAAAAUCGCCCCAUUACUGAUAACCACUUAAGGGCUCAUCUGUCUCACAGACCAGAUGAGAAAGUGAGAAACCUGUUAAUCCAGCUAUUACAAUUUACAGAAGCCAGGUUUAAUAGUCUGUCUAAAACAUUUGAUUCACACCUAAACUAAAUCUUAAUGCAUCCAAGAAAAGAAACAAAUAUAUGAACUGGGAAUUGCCAGUAAUAAUUCAAAUCAAGAGAAACCAUUUUGAGAAAGACACCUUUUUAAGGUCCUUAUCGAGUAGAGGAGCACACAGUGCUUGAACUGUUUCUUUCCCCUUCCUUUUCUGGCAACUGGGCUACUUCUUUUCCAUUGAAUUCUUGCACUACUCUCUCUUCUUCUUGGAAGAAGAAGAAGAAGAAGAAGACUCCUCCUCCUUGAGUGCUAUCUUUGUAUCCGACGGCCCAUUUGAACUACCGGUUGAAUGCAGGCUGAAUCUUUUGGAUGGAAGCUGAUGCGAACUAAUCCAACCCUGGUUUCUCAAGAAUGAUGCAGAGAUUAAGCGAGGCUUUAAAUCUUGACAAUUUAUAUAGUUACAGUGACAAAGAGACGUUGAUAAUGAUAAGCUGCUCAUUUUUUCCUUCUUUUGUUGAUGAUUUUGCUAAGGCUAACUUGAAUGUGAAUAUCAGAGUGAGAUAUCACUUAGUGCUAACUGCUAACUAACGAACUCCAGCCAUGAUUUUGCGGUUGAGCCAUGGGGCGCCACUACGACGACGUAUGAUGAAGUAAUUCGCAUUUCUGCAAAUCACUAUUAUUGACCCUCUAAAAAAUUUUCAAACACCUGCAUUUAAGUGAAGUUUACUUAACCAUCUAAAAAGGGUAUUUGAAAAAAAAAAACCUCUAAAAAGGAUUAUAAGUAUGCUCUCCUCUCAUUUUCUCUUUUUUUUUUUUUUUUUUUUGGUAAACCUUUGUUGUAAAACCAAAAAUCAACGCAGUUGAUAGAGACAUUAAUCAAGUGAUAAUUUUUUUUGUCAUUUUACCUUUUACAUUUUUCUUUAAAAAAAGAAAAAGGCAAAAUGCGAAAGGGUAGGGAGGGUGAUAAUUAAACUAAUAAAGGUGGGUUUGAUAAAAUUGAAAUUUGAAAUCUAAAAUCUAAAUUCUGAAUCCAUGAAAUUAUUGAAUUGUUAAAUAUUAAAUAGAAUAUAUUUGAGUGUAUAUCAUAUUUAGUGAUAAAUGAAUAGUUUAUCAAUAAUUUUUUCGAGCAAGUUUUGCCUAAAAAAUUCAGUACUACUUAAUUAAUUCAGAUAUUUAAUUUUUAUUAUCAAAUGCAUCAAACAUGUUAAGAUAUGAAUUUAUUAAGUUUAAACGCUGAAUUGAAUUAUCAAACACGGCCUAAGAUAAUAAACAAAGACCCUUAACUACUAGCCUAGUGAAUUAUUGUCUAUUCAGUACUCACCUGUUGGCUGAUAAUUAAGCCAAGAAAGAUGUAGUCCGACUGACUUUUUCUAAUCUGGUUUUUAAGUGAAAAUCUUCCCCCCUUCAAAAUUGAGAAGGACAAAACAAAAAGGGAGUCCACCCAACGCUCGAUGGGGCUGUCUAAAUUUCCAAAAAGCAAGCUUAUCAAGGAACUGCCUGGGACAUAAAGAACCAUUGCUCUAGCUUCCUACCCAAAAAAAAAAAAAAAAAGAGAACCACUGCUCUUUUGUUAAUGGCUGCUCUACCAAAGAUUUUAUUUACUUAGAACUACAUUGAAUAAUAAUCAAAGAAUUUUUAGCUUAAGAAAACUACAGAAUCCUUCCUCAACCCUACAGAUGAGUACAGACCAGCAUCGAUCUUCUUAACUUUUAUCAUGAAUCUACUAAAAACUAAAUCUGCAGCUAAACCUUGGCGUUAUGAUCAUCAGAAAUAGUCUCCUCUGAAGACGUAUCACUGUCAAUGAUGAUCAGGUCCUGUUUGAUACCAGGAUUCUGCACUUCAGCUUGAUUAUGUUCUAACACAAAUGGGAAGUUGCCAUUAUGAGCUCCAGCUCCUGCUUGUUGCUCGACUCUUUCUGCAACGGUGCGCUUGUUGCUUAUUCGAUAACUUGGCUCAUGAUGAAUUCCUUGGCAUCAAGAAAAGGUUUCUUUACCCACUGCCUUUCAACAGAACCUACAGAUGAGUUAUCUGAUGGCAGAACCGUCUGAGGAGAUCUCAAAGGGAUUGAGACUACUUCUCUGAGCCAGUGAGGCAAAUUUCCCCCGAUAGCCAUACAAGUUGACUGAUUGGCACCAAAAGAACAUUCGACAUCCAGCAUUGCAUUGUUUUGAAGCAUAGCUCUCCUGCGGUUUUCCCUGCAGGAAUACAUGUCCUCGUGUUUGUUGCAGCUUUUUGAAGUUGCCAAGGUGCAUUAGUUUGCACAUUGAAAUAAUUAAAGAGUGGUCUUUUCUGGACUGCCAUUUGGCUGGGAAUAUACAUCUCCAAGUGAAAGUUGAACAUCAUCCA
RNAcentral lists this long non-coding RNA (38245 nucleotides) under Coffea arabica (coffee). Its description in RNAcentral is "long non-coding RNA (CARA_LNC006459)". Lineage: Eukaryota; Viridiplantae; Streptophyta; Magnoliopsida; Gentianales; Rubiaceae. The record is from RNAcentral.